AAUGAACGCUGGCGGCAUGCCUUACACAUGCAAGUCGAACGGCAGCAUGACCUAGCUUGCUAGGUUGAUGGCGAGUGGCGAACGGGUGAGUAAUGCAUCGGAACGUGCCUUUUAGUGGGGGAUAACGUAGCGAAAGUUACGCUAAUACCGCAUAUUCUCUGAGGAGGAAAGCAGGGGACCUUCGGGCCUUGCGCUAGAAGAGCGGCCGAUGUCGGAUUAGCUAGUUGGUGAGGUAAAGGCUCACCAAGGCAACGAUCCGUAGCGGGUCUGAGAGGAUGAUCCGCCACACUGGGACUGAGACACGGCCCAGACUCCUACGGGAGGCAGCAGUGGGGAAUUUUGGACAAUGGGCGCAAGCCUGAUCCAGCCAUGCCGCGUGAGUGAAGAAGGCCUUCGGGUUGUAAAGCUCUUUCGGCUGGGAAGAAAUCGCACCCUCUAAUAGAGGGUGUGGAUGACGGUACCAGCAUAAGAAGCACCGGCUAACUACGUG
This 490-nucleotide ribosomal RNA is filed under the name uncultured bacterium. RNAcentral describes it as "partial 16S ribosomal RNA". It matches the Rfam family "Bacterial small subunit ribosomal RNA", at positions 29 to 507 of the family's 1533-position model. The record is from RNAcentral.